GAGAUAUGAUGAGUAUUCAUUGGUCCGUGUUUCUGAUUCACCGUGACAGAAAAUCCUAUUCCAAUCUCUGAUCUC
This is a small nucleolar RNA of Impatiens glandulifera, 75 nucleotides long. RefSeq annotates it as small nucleolar RNA SNORD18. The transcript has a single exon. The record is from RefSeq and is a predicted model, not a curated record. NCBI's taxonomy places the organism in Eukaryota, Viridiplantae, Streptophyta, Magnoliopsida, Ericales, Balsaminaceae.